UAUCUCUGUAGAGUCUGCAUAUCAAUAAGCGGAGGAAAAGAAACUAACAUAGGAUUCCCUCAGUAACGGCGAGUGAAGCGGGAAGAGCUCAAAUUUGAAAUCUUCAAGGUUCUACCUUGACGAAUUGUAGUUUAAAGAAGUGUUUUCUGUUAGAUGAGUAGCAAAAGUUCCUUGGAAUGGGACAUCAUAGAGGGUGAGAAUCCCGUAUUUGGUUAUUCAUUCUAGCUUUGUGAUACACUUUCAAAGAGUCGGAUUGUUUGGGAAUGCAGUCCAAAAUGGGUGGUAAAUUUCAUCUAAAGCUAAAUAUUGGCGAGAGACCGAUAGCGAACAAGUACCGUGAGGGAAAGAUGAAAAGAACUUUGAAAAGAGAGUUAAACAGUACGUGAAAUUGUCAAAAGGGAAGCGUUUGACACCAGUGUUGUUUUUCCGAAAAUCAAUUACGAAUGGCUUGAUUCUGUGUUGUAUUGACCUUAUCAGCUUUCUGCACUUUUUUCGAGUCUUUCUUAAUGCACUUUUCGGUUAACAAGUCAACAUCAAUUUCUUUUGUUGUAAAAGAGUAUUCGGAAGGUGGCUUUCUUUUCGGAGAAAGUGUUUAUAGCCCUAUACUUCUACAAUCGGAGAGAUUGAGGUCUGCAGCGUAGAUCCUUCGGGGUUAGAUACACUUGUGCUAAGCUGUAGCUUUUCAUAGACAACUUGUUGACUAUGUUUAGUCAUGCGGCUUACUCGCUUGUGCUAUUUUACCUACGCUUAGGAUGUUGAAAGAUGUAGCACAUCAU
RNAcentral lists this ribosomal RNA (776 nucleotides) under uncultured Neocallimastigales. RNAcentral describes it as "partial large subunit ribosomal RNA". It matches the Rfam family "Eukaryotic large subunit ribosomal RNA", at positions 24 to 635 of the family's 3401-position model. The record is from RNAcentral. Lineage: Eukaryota; Fungi; Neocallimastigomycota; Neocallimastigomycetes; Neocallimastigales.